CCUACGGGAGGCAGCAGUGGGGAAUCUUGCGCAAUGGGCGAAAGCCUGGCGCAGCGACGCCGCGUGGGGGAAGAAGGCCUUCGGGUUGUAAACCUCUUUCAGCAGGGACGAAGCCACUCGGGUUAAUAGCCCAGAGGGUGACGGUACCUGCAGAAGAAGCCCCGGCUAACUACGUGCCAGCAGCCGCGGUAAUGCGUAGGGGGCAAGCGUUGUCCGGAUUUAUUGGGCGUAAAGAGCGUGUAGGCGGCCAGACAAGUCCGUUGUGAAAACUAGAGGCUUAACCUCUAGACGUCGAUGGAAACUGUUUGGCUAGAGUCCGGAAGAGGAGAAUGGAAUUCCUGGUGUAGCGGUGAAAUGCGCAGAUAUCAGGAAGAACACCCGUGGCUAAGGCGGUUCUCUAGUACGGUACUGACGCUGAGACGCGAAAGCGUGGGGAGCGAACAGGAUUAGAUACCCUGGUAGUCCACGCCGUAAACGAUAGGUGCUAGGUGUGGGGGUGUCGGACUCCCUCCGUGCCGAAGCUAACGCAUAGCNCCCGCCGUCGGAGGUACGGCCGCGACGACGUAAACUUAAACUAGAGUAGACGGCGUGAGACGNGCCGACGGACGACGACGAGGGAGGAGG
This 624-nucleotide ribosomal RNA is filed under the name uncultured bacterium. RNAcentral describes it as "bacterial SSU rRNA". The stretch from base 1 to 540 matches the Rfam family "Bacterial small subunit ribosomal RNA", at positions 338 to 873 of the family's 1533-position model. The record is from RNAcentral.